GAAGGAUGUGUUUGCUUCUCCUUCCACCAUGAUUGUAAGUUUCCUGAGGCCUCCCCAGCCAUGCUCAACUGCUGUUCUGAUCAUGAUCAAGCCCAAGACAGAGCGAUGGGCGUGGCUUCCCCAAAGGUGUUUAUGAAUCCAAAAUCUGAGAGAGAGAAGACAAGAUGAAGUCACAGUCUAGUCAUUGCCUCAACACCAGUCAUUCCUACUCCCACCCAGACAACAUCAUCUCCACUCCCAAGCCCGAAAUGCUCCCUGCCAUGCCUUCGAGGCUGAGGUCUGGGAAGAAAACUCUAAGAAGAGAGAAAAGGGCACCAGUAUGGAGACCCUAGAAUAUAAAAAGCAGACUUAGCCUGUCUAACCUGUUCCUUGACUUGGCCAUGAUCCCAGGAAUGGAGGAAGGAUCUUCCUUUUCUUCCUCCUCCUGGAGAGGCAUCAGAGCAUGGGCCCUGGCUCUGUUACUCCCUGGCUGGGGAAGUUACUUACCUACUCCGUGUCUCAGUUUUACUUAUCUCUAAAAGGGGUAGAGUAACAGCACUCACUGGAGUGGAGUGUGGUUAUGCCUCCCAGCCUCUCCUUCAGAACUAGGUUACUUAUUCCCUCAGCUGCAAGGAGUGUUAGCUGCGGACUGCUCACAACGGAGUCUCUUCUAGGGAUUGCCCUCAACCGAAGGAAGCUGCAUUGCCCAAGAUGAGAUCCCCUCGCUGGGGCAUCCUGCAUCCAAUGACAAGUCAGUGGGGCGUACGAAGGCCUGGCUUCCUCAUCUCGAUUGGACAUCUCCAAAGGGCCAUCCCAGUUUCUGAUCUCCCCGUAGAAUCUCCUGAAGCCUCUGUUGUGACUGCAUCAGAGCCCAACCUCUCUCUCUACCCAAUCCAGUCUCCUUUCCUUCUCACAGGUGUUGUUCCCAAAACUCAGUAAACUGCCUACACGCAA
This 933-nucleotide long non-coding RNA is filed under the name Homo sapiens (human). RNAcentral's name for it is "non-protein coding lnc-CREB3L1-2:3". Lineage: Eukaryota; Metazoa; Chordata; Mammalia; Primates; Hominidae. The record is from RNAcentral.